Long non-coding RNA from Rhinichthys klamathensis goyatoka, 461 nucleotides. RefSeq lists it as uncharacterized. Lineage: Eukaryota; Metazoa; Chordata; Actinopteri; Cypriniformes; Leuciscidae. The transcript has 2 exons. The record is from RefSeq and is a predicted model, not a curated record.
AGGAUAUUGAGAAGGACCUUUGUCAGGAAGUAGAGGCCCAUGGGGUGUUGGGUCGGUAGAGAGACACAAAGAAAGACUAGAGGAUCACCUUUCAGAAUGUCACCUUGUAAGGAGGGUCGUCUGGCGGUUGGGUGCGUGGAGGGGGAGGCAGCCAAGUGCCACACACACACUCCUUAAGACUUAUGAGUGCAUCAUAACCUUGACCAAGACAAUCUGUUCAACGACACUUAGCGAAGAUUCCUCAUGAUGUCCCUAAGAGCCGCUGGGACUCGGCUCUUCUGUUCUUUCUGUGCGCUAUCAGCUCAGCGCCAGAUCGCCGCCCUUACCGUUCAACGGCCAUUACUCCAUUUGCAAGAUAAAUCUGGACUGCCGUGUCAAAUCAAUCACAACUGUCAUUUCAUCCACUCAGACCACAGCACUAAAUUAAAGCCUUUUUGGCCCAUAUGCAUUCCAAAUAGUCA